RNAcentral lists this transfer RNA (87 nucleotides) under Chloroflexota bacterium. RNAcentral describes it as "Chloroflexi bacterium tRNA-Leu". It matches the Rfam family "tRNA". Rfam says of the family: Transfer RNA (tRNA) molecules are approximately 80 nucleotides in length. Their secondary structure includes four short double-helical elements and three loops (D, anti-codon, and T loops). Further hydrogen bonds mediate the characteristic L-shaped molecular structure. tRNAs have two regions of fundamental functional importance: the anti-codon, which is responsible for specific mRNA codon recognition, and the 3' end, to which the tRNAs corresponding amino acid is attached (by aminoacyl-tRNA synthetases). tRNAs cope with the degeneracy of the genetic code in two manners: having more than one tRNA (with a specific anti-codon) for a particular amino acid; and 'wobble' base-pairing, i.e. permitting non-standard base-pairing at the 3rd anti-codon position. Lineage: Bacteria; Bacillati; Chloroflexota. The record is from RNAcentral.
GCGCGGGUGGCGGAAUUGGUAGACGCGCUACCUUGAGGGGGUAGUGGGAGAAAUCCCGUGGAGGUUCAAGUCCUCUCUCGCGCACCA